UACGUAGGGUGCAAGCGUUAAUCGGAAUUACUGGGCGUAAAGCGUGCGCAGGCGGCUUUGCAAGACAGAUGUGAAAUCCCCGGGCUCAACCUGGGAAUGGCAUUUGGGACUGCAAGGCUGGAGUGCGGCAGAGGAGACUGGAAUUCCUGGUGUAGCAGUGAAAUGCGUAGAUAUCAGGAGGAAUACCGAUGGCGAAGGCAGGUCUCUGGGCUGACACUGACGCUCAUGCACGAAAGCGUGGGGAGCAAACAGG
This 253-nucleotide ribosomal RNA is filed under the name uncultured bacterium. RNAcentral's name for it is "partial 16S ribosomal RNA". It matches the Rfam family "Bacterial small subunit ribosomal RNA", at positions 524 to 776 of the family's 1533-position model. The record is from RNAcentral.